UAAUAUUCUUAUCUGCGCAAUAGUGGAUAAAGAAAGUCUGUUCGACUCUUAAAAAAUUACAUGAUUUGAGUUCAGACCGGUGUAAACCAGGUCGGUUUCUAUCUUCUUAUAUUUCUUCUAGUACGAAAGGACCUAAGAAAAUGAUUCAAUCAUUAUCUUGGCAGAAUAAUGCAUUAGAAUUAGAAUCUAAUUAAACUAAAAUAUUAUUUUCCAUAAACUUUAUUCUA
Molecule: ribosomal RNA, 227 nt
Filed under: Oxyopes birmanicus
Lineage: Eukaryota; Metazoa; Arthropoda; Arachnida; Araneae; Oxyopidae
Description: partial 16S ribosomal RNA
Source: RNAcentral